GCCCACUUAGCUCAGCUGGUAGAGCACUUCCAUGGUAAGGAAGGGGUCGACGGUUCGAGUCCGUCAGUGGGCUUCA
Molecule: transfer RNA, 76 nt
Filed under: Actinomycetes bacterium
Lineage: Bacteria; Bacillati; Actinomycetota; Actinomycetes
Description: Actinobacteria bacterium tRNA-Thr
Rfam family: tRNA
About the family: Transfer RNA (tRNA) molecules are approximately 80 nucleotides in length. Their secondary structure includes four short double-helical elements and three loops (D, anti-codon, and T loops).
Source: RNAcentral